AAUUGUUGCAGUUAAAAGCUCGUAGUUGAAUUUCUGCUGCAUUGCUUGUGUCCCUCUGGGGUCUGUGCAUGUGGCUUUUUUCGGACGGAGUUUCUUUGUCUGAAUGUUUACUUUGAGAAAAUUAGAGUGCUCAAAGCAGGCUUUCGCCUUGAAUAGUUUAGCAUGGAAUAAUAAAGUAGGACUUUGGUUCUAUUUUGUUGGUUUUAGGUACCAAAGUAAUGGUUAAUAGGAACAGUUGGGGGCAUUCGUAUUUAACUGUCAGAGGUGAAAUUCUUAGAUUUGUUAAAGACAAACUACUGCGA
This 302-nucleotide ribosomal RNA is filed under the name Theileria annulata. RNAcentral's name for it is "SSU rRNA". It matches the Rfam family "Eukaryotic small subunit ribosomal RNA", at positions 608 to 948 of the family's 1831-position model. The record is from RNAcentral. Lineage: Eukaryota; Apicomplexa; Aconoidasida; Piroplasmida; Theileriidae.